AUGUUACUGGCCAGCUCAACAAGCUCCAUGUUCAUGAACCAUAUCACGGGCAUGAUCAAGUUAAUACUGCUAGUGGACAAGGAUCAGGCAACAAAGCGCACCGUGUUUAGAGGUCCCUGUCAUGGAGGCUUGUAUCCACUCGUUCCUGUGUCUUCGGAUUCCUCCAAGCAUGCUCUUGCUACUAUUCAGCCUUCAUCCUCUACAUGGCAUCGUUGUCUAGGCCAUCCAUCUUUGUUUAUUAUUCAGAAAAUUCUUAGGAAGCAUAAACUUUUAUAUUCCCCAGAAAUAAAUCCUUACAUAUGUGAUCCAUGCCAACAGGCCAAGAGUCAUCAGCUACCCUACCCUGUAUCCACUAGUGUGUCUACAGUUCCUUUGGAACAAAUAUUUUCUGAUGUAUGGGGUCCAGCUCCUCUCUCUGCAAGCAAACAUGCAUACUAUGUAAGCUUCAUUGAUGAUUUU
RNAcentral lists this ribosomal RNA (459 nucleotides) under Triticum aestivum (bread wheat). RNAcentral's name for it is "partial small subunit ribosomal RNA". Lineage: Eukaryota; Viridiplantae; Streptophyta; Magnoliopsida; Poales; Poaceae. The record is from RNAcentral.